CCUACGGUGCGCAGCAGUCGAGAAUCAUUCACAAUGGGGGAAACCCUGAUGGUGCGACGCCGCGUGGGGGAAUGAAGGUCUUCGGAUUGUAAACCCCUGUCAUGUGGGAGCAAAUCAAAAAGAUAGUACCACAAGAGGAAGAGACGGCUAACUGUGUGCCAGCAGCCGCGGCAAUACAGAGGGCUCAACCGUUGUUCGGAAUCAAUGGGCGUAAAGCGUGCGUAGGCUGUUUCGUAAGUCGUGUGUGAAAGGCGCGUGCUCAACCCGCGGACGGCACAUGAGACUGCGAGACUAGAGUAAUGGAGGGGGAACCGGAAUUCUCGGUGUAGCAGUGAAAUGCGUAGAUAUCGAGAGGAACACUCGUGGCGAAGGCGGGUUCCUGGACAUUAACUGACGCUGAGGCACGAAGGCCAGGGGAGCGAAAGGGAUUAGAUACCCGGGUAGUC
This 446-nucleotide ribosomal RNA is filed under the name uncultured bacterium. Its description in RNAcentral is "partial 16S ribosomal RNA". It matches the Rfam family "Bacterial small subunit ribosomal RNA", at positions 338 to 795 of the family's 1533-position model. The record is from RNAcentral.